Molecule: ribosomal RNA, 395 nt
Filed under: uncultured bacterium
Lineage: Bacteria
Description: partial 16S ribosomal RNA
Rfam family: Bacterial small subunit ribosomal RNA
Source: RNAcentral
AUACGUAGGGUGCAAGCGUUAAUCGGAAUUACUGGGCGUAAAGCGUGCGCAGGCGGUGUUGUAAGACAGAGGUGAAAUCCCUGGGCUUAACCUGGGAACUGCCAUUGUGACUGAAAGGCUGGAGUGCAGCAGAGGGGGAUGGAAUUCCACGUGUAGCAGUGAAAUGCGUAGAUAUGUGGAUGAACACCGAUGGCGAAGGCAAUCCCCUGGUCCUACUCUGGCGCAGAUGCACGAACGCGUGUGGAGCAAAGAGUAAUAGAUCCCCGGGUAGUCCACGCCCUAAGCGAUGUCAACUGGUUGUUGGGGAUUUAUUUUCUCAGUAACGAAGCUAACGCAUGAAGUUGACCGCCUGGGGAGUACGGCCGCAAGGUUAAAACUCAAAGGAAUUGACGGGG